AAGUCGUAACAAGGUUUCCGUAGGUGAACCUGCGGAAGGAUCAUUAUUGAAUGAACUUGGUGUGAUUGUUGCUGAUCCUUCUGGGAUAUGUGCACAUCUGCCAUCUUUAUCUCUCCACCUGUGCACACUUUGUAGGUCUAGAAUAACUCUCUGAGGCAACUCAGAUGUGAGAACUGCUACUGUGAGGUAGCUUUUCUUGUGUUUCUAGAUCUAUGUUUUCAUAUACACCAUAAGAAUGUAACAGAAUGUAUUAAUGGGUCUUGUACCUAUAAACUAUAUACAACUUUCAGCAACGGAUCUCUUGGCUCUC
This 310-nucleotide unclassified non-coding RNA is filed under the name air metagenome. RNAcentral's name for it is "partial contains small subunit ribosomal RNA, internal transcribed spacer 1, and 5.8S ribosomal RNA". The stretch from base 1 to 46 matches the Rfam family "Eukaryotic small subunit ribosomal RNA", at positions 1786 to 1831 of the family's 1831-position model. The record is from RNAcentral.